AUUGAACGCUGGCGGCAGGCCUAACACAUGCAAGUCGAGCGAGUGGCGGACGGGUGAGUAAUGUUUGGGGAUCUGCCUUAUGGAGGGGGAUAACUACUGGAAACUGUAGCUAAUACCGCGUACCAUAGGAUGAGCCCAUGUGGGCUUAGGUAGUUGGUGAGGUAAAGGCUCACCAAGGCGACGAUCUCUAGCUGGUCUGAGAGGAUGAUCAGCCACACUGGGACUGAGACACGGCCCAGACUCCUACGGGAGGCAGCAGUGGGGAAUAUUGCACAAUGGGCGCAAGCCUGAUACAGCCAUGCCGCGUGUAUGAAGAAGGCCUUAGGGUUGUAAAGUACUUUCAGCGGGGAGGCGUUACCCGCAGAAGAAGCACCGGCUAACUCCGUGCCAGCAGCCGCGGUAAUUC
This 406-nucleotide ribosomal RNA is filed under the name uncultured bacterium. RNAcentral describes it as "partial 16S ribosomal RNA". It matches the Rfam family "Bacterial small subunit ribosomal RNA", at positions 30 to 526 of the family's 1533-position model. The record is from RNAcentral.